AUCCUUUUCAUUUUGCUAUGCCAAAAGUAUCAUUCCAACGUAAAGAAAAAUGGCAAAACGAUUCUUCGCUGGAGUCUGAUUGGCCAAGCCUACAGUAGAAUUAGGAAUGCUGUACUAACCAACCAAUUGGUCAUGAGCAAAAUAAAUAUACAGCUGGCAGAGAUCAACCAAGCAUCUCUUACAAAAUGGCACAAUGAUCGCAGGAGAGGGCAGUUUUGGAGCGAGGUCUGCCCACUGUGGAAGUCGUGGAAACAAUUGCUGUGCCGCUACCGGGGGUUGUACCCUUACAACCAACCUUUUUACAAGUCCCAACAAUUCGAACUCUUCACGAGUUCAGCCUUCCAGAAAACACAAUCGGUCAAGUACGUACGCGCUCAUCGCAACAACAAAGUCAGCAACACCCUCAAUUAUGUAGUCAACCACCCACUCAAACAUGUAGCCAACCCCGUACACCACCAACAACACAAUUUAUGCCCCUAUUGCUUCCAUCUUCUCCAUCUAUAAAUUUCACCCCACCAACAGCUCAUAUUUUUAAAAGCACGAAGAGUUAUAGGAAGAAGAUAAAUGAACAAGAACUUGCUGAUCAGCCCACGUGCCGAUACAAGGAGCGGAUACGCCCUUCAUUCUGCUUAAAGUGUGGUGAAUUACGAACUGGUGACCAUAAGCAGUAUUAUGGGAAUUGGUAUUGUCCUACUAUGGACCAGUCGUACGUAUUACAAUGCCAACAAAUUAAUUGUUCAAUCGUUGAAUAUCGUAAUGUGCACAAAGAUGAACAUCUUGCUUUCACAGAUAAGAUAUUUGCUUGUUUUGUUUGUUCAUCAAAGAUUGAAAAGAAAUUAAUACACUUAAAAAGCCGUAAAAUCUAGAAGACCGUAUUCAAAAACAUUGACUUGCGUACCAAAUAUACUGAUUUUCAGUUCCUGUUUUUAGUUAUGAAAUUCAAUAAUUUUACCUAUCUAUUUGCAAAAUAGUUUCCUUUAGGCCAAAAUAGAACCUGUAGAGUUAACUAAGUGGAUAGAUAACAUGAAGAAACUGCCACUUCAAACAGUAACCAUAAAAUGAAGUAGAAUUUGAUCUGAUCUAUUUGCUGAAAAGAUGAAGAGAUGAUCAGAUGCACUUCAUCAUUCUUGUAUUAACAACACCAGAUGUUGGUUAUUGACAUGAAAAAAAUCCAAUGCCAACUGGUAUUUAAUUUGGUUAUAAGAUUUAUUAUUGAGAUGAAAGCUGUGCACUUAUAUUGAAAAUUGUGCACUUAUAUUGCCAAUUGGAAAGACAUAAAACAGAGAAAAAGAAGAGAAGAAAUAUUAAAAACGCAAUUUUGUAUUCACUGACUUUAAAUAUAAUUUUAAAUUCCACUGUAAUACAAGUCACAAGUGUUUUUAUGAUUGUUUGCAUUUUGCCCAUUCCAUAUAUCAAUACAACAAAAUGAAAAU
Xenia sp. Carnegie-2017 is the source of this 1433-nucleotide long non-coding RNA. RefSeq lists it as uncharacterized. NCBI's taxonomy places the organism in Eukaryota, Metazoa, Cnidaria, Anthozoa, Malacalcyonacea, Xeniidae. The transcript has 3 exons. The record is from RefSeq and is a predicted model, not a curated record.